CCUACGGGAGGCAGCAGUGGGGAAUUUUGGACAAUGGGCGCAAGCCUGAUCCAGCAAUGCCGCGUGAGUGAAGAAGGCCUUCGGGUUGUAAAGCUCUUUUGUCAGGGAAGAAACGGUGGAGGUUAAUACCUUCUGCUAAUGACGGUACCUGAAGAAUAAGCACCGGCUAACUACGUGCCAGCAGCCGCGGUAAUACGUAGGGUGCAAGCGUUAAUCGGAAUUACUGGGCGUAAAGCGUGCGCAGGCGGUUGUGCAAGACAGAUGUGAAAUCCCCGGGCUCAACCUGGGAAUUGCAUUUGUGACUGUACGACUAGAGUGUGUCAGAGGGGGGUAGAAUUCCACGUGUAGCAGUGAAAUGCGUAGAGAUGUGGAGGAAUACCGAUGGCGAAGGCAGCCCCCUGGGAUAACACUGACGCUCAUGCACGAAAGCGUGGGGAGCAAACAGGAUUAGAUACCCUGGUAGUCCACGCCCUAAACGAUGUCUACUAGUUGUCGGGUCUUAAUUGACUUGGUAACGCAGCUAACGCGUGAAGUAGACCGCCUGGGGAGUACGGUCGCAAGNUUAAAACUUAAAUGAAUUGACG
Molecule: ribosomal RNA, 584 nt
Filed under: uncultured bacterium
Lineage: Bacteria
Description: bacterial SSU rRNA
Rfam family: Bacterial small subunit ribosomal RNA
Source: RNAcentral